CUCAUUCUAUCACCCAGGCUGGAGUGCAGCGGCGCGAUCUCGGCCCACCGUAAGCUCCGCCUCCCGGGCUCAAGCGAUCCUCCCACUUCAGCCUCCUGAGUAGCUGGGACUCCAGGUGAGCGCCCUGCUAAUUUUAUAUUUUUGGUAGAGACGGGGUUUCGCCAUGUUGCCCAGGCUGGUCUCAACUCCUGGUCUCAAGUGAUCCGCCUGCCUUGGCCUUCCAAAGUGCUGGGCUUACAGGCGGGAGCCACUGCACCCAGCCCUACGCCCCAUCUUUCUGGGUUUCUGCCUGGUAUUGUUACAUCUCCAACAGGCUUAACUCAAAGCUGACUUUCCGCCUGUGCUGUAUCUGCCCCAUGGUCCUUUAGAGUAUAUAAAAUAUAAAUGGCACUUUGGGAGGCCGAG
RNAcentral lists this long non-coding RNA (405 nucleotides) under Homo sapiens (human). Its description in RNAcentral is "LHRI_LNC1471.1". The record is from RNAcentral. Lineage: Eukaryota; Metazoa; Chordata; Mammalia; Primates; Hominidae.